RNAcentral lists this small RNA (113 nucleotides) under Salmonella enterica subsp. enterica serovar Typhi. Its description in RNAcentral is "StyR-358". Lineage: Bacteria; Pseudomonadati; Pseudomonadota; Gammaproteobacteria; Enterobacterales; Enterobacteriaceae. The record is from RNAcentral.
AUCAACGCGGCGACAACGAUCGCAACCUGCUGACUGGCGGAUUGCCAGCUGGUAUAAAACCCUUUAUUGCCUGGCGUUGCGAUUUCGGACAGAUAGACCGAGACGCCGCCUAA